AUUGAACGCUGGCGGCAUGCUUUACACAUGCAAGUCGAACGAGUGGCGAACGGGUGAGUAACAUAUCGGAACGUCCCCAGUAAUGGGGGAUAACUAAUCGAAAGAUUAGCUAAUACCGCAUAUUAUUCGAGCUGCCGAUAUCUGAUUAGCUGGUUGGUGGGGUAAAGGCCUACCAAGGCGACGAUCCGUAGCGGGUCUGAGAGGAUGAUCCGCCAAACUGGGACGUAGACCAGGCCCAGAAUCCUAAGGGAGGCAGGAGUGGGGAAUUUUGGACAAUGGGCGCAAGCCUGAUCCAGCCAUGCCGGGUGUCUGAAGAAGGCCCUCGGGUUGUAAAGGACUUUUGUCAGGGAAGCGGUACCUGAAGAAGAAGCACCGGCUAACGACGUGCCAGCAGCCGCGGUAAUUC
RNAcentral lists this ribosomal RNA (406 nucleotides) under uncultured bacterium. RNAcentral describes it as "partial 16S ribosomal RNA". It matches the Rfam family "Bacterial small subunit ribosomal RNA", at positions 30 to 526 of the family's 1533-position model. The record is from RNAcentral.